Molecule: long non-coding RNA, 1184 nt
Filed under: Chrysemys picta bellii (western painted turtle)
Lineage: Eukaryota; Metazoa; Chordata; Testudines; Emydidae
Description: lncRNA (ENSCPBG00000012799.1)
Source: RNAcentral
UCACACCCCUCUAGAUUUAAAGGACUAUUGCAAAGACCAUUUCACUACUGUUAGUGUUUGCAGUUCAGUCAUUGCUUCGAGGAAAAACCUGUUGAUACGUCAGGUUAUGCUAAAUAAGCAAGAGUUCUGUAUUGGCCUGAAGCUGUUUGCAAUCCACCAUUUGCAUGCCACUUUCAAGCAGGGACAUUAUUGCUACCUUUUAAAUCCAAAAAAGGGAACUGAUAUAUUUGCAAACACACAGAUACUCAGGAUGUGGCUGCUGUUUCCUAUCACAAACACGUGAUCUGAGUUGGUUGUUGUUUUUCCACACUGCAAAAGAAAGAAAUCCAGCAAGCUUAGGUGAAAUUGUUGGGUCACUGAAAGGUACAAUGAUCUUCCUGACAAGCUGGAUUCCUGUCCUAACUACGUUUCUGCUUCUCUUAUAUUUCUGGAGAGCAAAGGUCUCUGCCUCUGGAACAUCUGAGGAGGAGGCAAUAGACCCCAAGUAUGUUAUCAUAGGAGUUACCCUGGGAGUCUUCCUAGCAAUUGGUUUUUUAGCACUAAAGAUCUGCAUGAUCAAAAGGCAAUUGACUGACAAUGACUUUGUAGGUUACUGCUGGACAAGGCAACUAUAGUUGUAACAUGCGAAUGGAUCAAAGGAACAGAGAAGGUCUCCCUGUAUUAUGAGAAACAUGUGUUUUGACAUGACAGUUGCAGCUGGUAAGCAGAAUGCUAAGAUUCCCAACCUUCACUCAAAUUACUCCUUCUCAGUUAUUAUAUUUCUCUACCCUAAGGCCCUACCACAUAAUUACUGUAUAUUUUAGUGCAUGCCCCAUGUACUACUAUUUUUAAAAAGAUAGUCUCCCUUUUUUCUCUCUAUCAACUUUCAUUCUUUACAGUAGUGUACUCCUCUUAGAAAAUUACUUGCAUAUGCUGCAGCUUCUAUUAUGCUUAUUUACUAAUGGUCAUGCUACAGUAAACCUAGUUUUUCCUUUCUGGUCAAAUUGCGGAUUGCCAAUUUACUGGCAGCCAGACAGGAGUCUGCCUGAAAAUCAACCUAUUGGAGCGGAAACGUGGUCACUACAAGGUUUGAUAAAACUGCUGACGUAAAAAAUAGAUUUUUUUGUUUUAUAAACAGAUAUUUCAUAGAAUCAUCAAAAACAGAUAUAAAAUAACUCAAUAGACAUUUUUCCCCUGACUAGUAU